Molecule: ribosomal RNA, 467 nt
Filed under: uncultured bacterium
Lineage: Bacteria
Description: partial 16S ribosomal RNA
Rfam family: Bacterial small subunit ribosomal RNA
Source: RNAcentral
GACGAACGCUGGCGGCGUGCUUAACACAUGCAAGUCGAACGGAAAGGCCCUGCUUUUGUGGGGUGCUCGAGUGGCGAACGGGUGAGUAACACGUGAGUAACCUGCCCUUGACUUUGGGAUAACUUCAGGAAACUGGGGCUAAUACCGGAUAGGAGCUCCUGCUGCAUGGUGGGGGUUGGAAAGUUUCGGCGGUUGGGGAUGGACUCGCGGCUUAUCAGCUUGUUGGUGGGGUAGUGGCUUACCAAGGCUUUGACGGGUAGCCGGCCUGAGAGGGUGACCGGCAACAUUGGGACUGGGAUACGGCCCAGACUCUACGGGAGGCAGCAGUGGGGAAUAUUGCACAAUGGGCGGAAGCCUGAUGCAGCAACGCCGCGUGCGGGAUGACGGCCUUCGGGUUGUAAACCGCUUUCGCCUGUGACGAAGCGUGAGUGACGGUAAUGGGUAAAGAAGCACCGGCUAACUACGUG